RNAcentral lists this ribosomal RNA (522 nucleotides) under uncultured archaeon. RNAcentral's name for it is "bacterial SSU rRNA". It matches the Rfam family "Archaeal small subunit ribosomal RNA", at positions 325 to 849 of the family's 1478-position model. The record is from RNAcentral.
ACGGGGUGCAGCAGGCGCGAAAACUUUGCAAUGUGCGAAAGCACGACAAGGUUAAUCCGAGUGGUUUCUGCUAAAGGAACCUUUUGUUAGUCCUAGAAACACUAACGAAUAAGGGGUGGGCAAGUUCUGGUGUCAGCCGCCGCGGUAAAACCAGCACCUCAAGUGGUCAGGAUGAUUAUUGGGCCUAAAGCAUCCGUAGCCGGCUCAGUAAGUUUUCGGUUAAAUCUGUACGCUCAACGUACAGGCUGCCGGGAAUACUGCAGAGCUAGGGAGUGGGAGAGGUAGACGGUACUCGGGAGGAAGUGGUAAAAUGCUUUGAUCUUUCGAUGACCACCUGUGGCGAAGGCGGUCUACCAGAACACGUCCGACGGUGAGGGAUGAAAGCUGGGGGAGCAAACCGGAUUAGAUACCCGGGUAGUCCCAGCUGUAAACUAUGCAAACUCAGUGAUGCAUUGGCUUGUGGCCAAUGCAGUGUUGCAGGGAAGCCGUUAAGUUUGCCGCCUGGAAGUACGUACGCAAGUA